RNAcentral lists this ribosomal RNA (1475 nucleotides) under uncultured Bordetella sp. RNAcentral describes it as "partial 16S-23S ribosomal RNA intergenic spacer". It matches the Rfam family "Bacterial small subunit ribosomal RNA". Lineage: Bacteria; Pseudomonadati; Pseudomonadota; Betaproteobacteria; Burkholderiales; Alcaligenaceae. The record is from RNAcentral.
AGUUUGAUCCGGUUCAGAUUGAACGCUGGCGGUGGAUGCUUUACACAUGCAAGUCGAACGGCAGCACGGACUUCGGUCUGGUGGCGAGUGGCGAACGGGUGAGAAGGCAUCGGAACGUGCCUAGUAGCGGGGGAUAACUACGCGAAAGCGCAGCUAACAGUCGCCACACGCCCUUCGUGGAAAAGCGGGGACCUUCGGCCUGUGCACCAUUAGAGCGCCGAUAUCGGAUUAGCUAAAGCUGCGGGGUAACGGCUCACCAAGGCGACGAUCCGCAGCUAGUUUGAGGCAGGACGACCAGCCACACUGGGAUCUGAGAUACGCCCAGACUCUACGGGAGGCAGUGGGGAAUUUUGGACAAUGGGGGAAACCCUGAUCCAGCCAUCUCGCGUGUGCGAUGAAGGCCUUCGGGUUGUGGCAAAGCACUUUUGGCAGGAAAGAAACGGCACGGCUGGGCAUUCCCGUGCAACUGACGGCACCUGCAGACAAGCACCAGUUACCCAUGCCAGCAGCCGCGGUAAUACGUAGGUGCAAGCGCGUUAACGGAAUUACCGGGCGUAAAGCGUGCGCAGGCGGUUCGGAAAGAAAGAUGUGAAAUCCCAGAGCUUAACUUUGGAACUGCAUUUUUAACUAAUGAGCCAGAGUGUGUCAGAGGAGGUGAAUUCCGUGUGUAGCAGGAAAUGCGUAGAUAUGCGGAGGAACACCGAUGGCGAAGGCAGCCUCUGGGAUAACACUGACGCUCAUGCACGAAAGCAAGCAAACAGAUUAUUACUCCUGGUAGUCCACGCCCUAAACGAUGUCAACUAGCUGUUGGGGCUUCGGGCCUUGGUAGCGCAGCUAACGCGUGAAGUUGACCGCCUGGGGAGCACGGUCGCAAGAUUGGAAAACCCAAAGUGAAUUGACGGGGACCCGCACAAGCGGUGGAUGAUGUGGAUUAAUUCGAUGCAACGCGAAAAAACCUACUCACCUUGACAUGUCUGGAAUCCCGAAGAGAUUUGGGAGAGUGCUCAAAGAGAAUCCAACACAGGUGCUGCAUGGCUGUCACAGCUCGUGUCGAGAUGCUGGGUUAAGUCCCGCAACGAGCGCAACCUCGUCGGGCCAGUUGCCGAAAGGGCACCUCUAUCGAGACUGCUGGUGACAAACCGGAGGGUAUGGGACGACGUCAAGUCCUCAUGGCCCUUAUGGGUAGGGCUUCACACGUCAUACAAUGGCCGGGACAGAGGGUCGCCAACCCGCGAGGGUGAGCCAAUCCCAGAAACCUGAUCGUAGUCCGGAUCGCGUCUGCAACCUGACUGCGGAAGUCGGAAUCGCUAGUAAUCGCGGAUCAGCAUGUCGCGGUGAAUACGUUCCCGGGUCUUGCACACACCUCGCCCGUCACACCAUGGGAGUGGGUUUUACCAGAAGUAGUUAGCUCAACUGUAAGGAGGGAAGCAUUACCACGGUAGGAUUCAUGGACGGGUGAAGUCGUAACAAGGUAG